GUGCUUGACUUGUCCCCUAUUCUGAUGAGUCCUUUUACAUAAUUAUAGAAGCGGCCCUUUUUGUAUUUUAAUACUUUGUAUUUUGUUGCCGCUUCUAGUCUCAAUUAUAUGUGCAAUUGGGAACUUAUAUAUUUUGUAAGAGAUUUGUAAUAAAUUGCUCCGCUGCAUAUACUUAAUUAUUAUGCACUCAUAAUCUGUUUCUAUAUCUGGUACCCUUAUGUUUUAAUUAGCAUUUGGAAUGUCACAGUAAUAAGGCAUGAUAUUGUAUUGUAAACAUGAGAAAUAGUAUUUUAUAUUGGCAUGCAUGGUAUUUAAAUGAUAUGAUUCGUUAGGCUUUUUAUGUAUGAGGGAUUCUAUUUCUCUCCCAUCUAGUCUGAAAGUACAUGAGAGGACCACUCCUUGUGGAUGACAUCGUACCCAAUGACGAGAGUGGUUAUGCAAUGUGAUUGUUGGGUCAUCUUUGACAACGUACGACUGUGACUAUAGUUUACAUAUUGGACCACUGUGGUUGGUACGGUUGUGAUCAUAGACCGUGAUAUGGUUUGGCAAGCUGUAAAUAUGUUGUAGUUUAGGAAGCCACAAAUUGCUAAAAUGAUAUAAAAUGAAUUGCUCAUUCUACACUGGUAGUUGAGAAUCGGUAUUGCCCUUAGUAAAUGGAAGUCGGAACAACUUUGUGCGAAGAAUAAAAUAAAACAAAAACAUGACAUGAUGUCUUUGAUUUUCUCUAUUUAAUCAUGACAUGAUUGACAUGACUUACAUAAAUGAUAUGAUUGAUAUGAUUUGAUUUAAAUAUGACAUGAUUUGACAUGAUUGACUUGAUAUUGACAUUUUUUUAAAUAAAGUAAACUAUUUUCAUAAUUAUUAAAAUGAACAUUCGACAUGAAUUUCGAUGGUAAGUAAAUAAGAUAUUCUUUUUUAGUUUAAUUACUUUUAAAAUUUUUGUAUUCUUAUUUAAAUACUAUUUUCUUUAUUGAGUAUGUAGAACUCACCUAUUUCCAUGACUCCCCCUAGAUGAGGACGAUAGUGAGGAACAUAUCGUUGAUCUACUUAUUGAAGCCUUUGCGGAUCUCGUGGAUCUGUGUACCGUUUUGAGUGCAUGUUUUGUUCCGCACUCUGAUGAGUUCAACUUAUAUAGAGGCUUGUAUUUAAUUUUAUUUCGCCUCAAUAUUGUAAGAGUGGAACUCUAUUAUUAUUUUGUAAGGGAUUGUAAUAUUUUAUUCUGUU
RNAcentral lists this long non-coding RNA (1224 nucleotides) under Carica papaya (papaya). Its description in RNAcentral is "long non-coding RNA (CPAP_LNC004937)". The record is from RNAcentral. Lineage: Eukaryota; Viridiplantae; Streptophyta; Magnoliopsida; Brassicales; Caricaceae.